RNAcentral lists this ribosomal RNA (469 nucleotides) under uncultured bacterium. RNAcentral describes it as "bacterial SSU rRNA". It matches the Rfam family "Bacterial small subunit ribosomal RNA", at positions 328 to 793 of the family's 1533-position model. The record is from RNAcentral.
UUUCCAGACUCCUACGGGAGGCAGCAGUGAGGAAUAUUGGUCAAUGGCCGGAAGGCUGAACCAGCCAAGUCGCGUGAGGGAAUAAGGCCCUAUGGGUCGUAAACCUCUUUUGUCGGGGAGCAAAGCGAACCACGUGUGGUUCAUUGAGAGUACCCGAAGAAAAAGCAUCGGCUAACUCCGUGCCAGCAGCCGCGGUAAUACGGAGGAUGCGAGCGUUAUCCGGAUUUAUUGGGUUUAAAGGGUGCGCAGGCGGAGGUGCAAGUCAGCGGUCAAAUUGCGGGGCUCAACCCCGUACUGCCGUUGAAACUGCAUCCCUUGAGUGCGCGAGAAGUAUGCGGAAUGCGUGGUGUAGCGGUGAAAUGCAUAGAUAUCACGCAGAACUCCGAUUGCGAAGGCAGCAUACCGGCGCGCAACUGGCGCUCAUGCACGAAAGCGUGGGUAUCGAACAGGAUUAGAUACCCUGGUAUAG